RNAcentral lists this ribosomal RNA (571 nucleotides) under Rhinebothrium sp. RNAcentral's name for it is "SSU rRNA". It matches the Rfam family "Eukaryotic small subunit ribosomal RNA", at positions 572 to 1034 of the family's 1831-position model. Lineage: Eukaryota; Metazoa; Platyhelminthes; Cestoda; Rhinebothriidea; Rhinebothriidae. The record is from RNAcentral.
GCAAGCCGCGGUAAUUCCAGCUCCAAUAGCGUAUAUUAAAGUUGCUGCAGUUAAAAAGCUCGUAGUUGGAUCUCGGUAUCACUUAGGAAUGGCGGGGAGGACCACGGUUGUGACGUCGACCCUGUCAACGUCCAUCCGGACAAUCUUCCGUCCUCUUUCUGGUGACACCUUUCAGCCAUGUCUGUGGUGAAAUACCCGCAGGUGUAGGCGAGUGUCUGCUGGUGUCCUAAUUUUUAGGCCCGCCGGCUCGUCUGCAUGCCUCUGGAUGCCCUUCAAAAGGUGUCCAAGGCGGAUGGCACGUUUACUUUGAACAAAUUUGAGUGCUCAAACCAGGCCGAUGUUGCCUGAAAAGUUUUGCAUGGAAUAAUGGAAUAGGACUUCGGUUCUAUUUCGUUKGUUUUCGGAUCCGAAGUAAUGAUCAAAAGAGACAGGCGGGGACGUUUGUAUGGCUGCGCUAGAGGUGAAAUUCAUGGACCGUARCCAGACAAACUAAAGCKAAAGCAUUCGUCAAGCAUGUUUUCAUUGSCCAUGAGCGAAAGUCAGAGGCUCGAAGACGAUCAGWUCCGCCUAG